GGAGUGAGGAUGGUUCUCCUGGCUGGCUGAAGGACCUCCGGAACCUCAGACAGAGCAGUUGCUGGCAGGAACCAGGGGAGCAAGAAAGAGCUCCUGGCUGGCUGCUGGGACGCAACCAGAGCAAGGCCCUGAGGUAAGGACGAAGAAUUCGCUGGGGCCACAGGGAAGUUGCCAGGGAUUCAUAGCAGUGAUGUAGUUUAGUUAAAGGGACUUGGUGGAUGGCUGUUAUCUAUAGGGUCCCUGGGCUGGGACCCGGAGUAGUGGGCAGGCCACGGUGGAAGUGGCCUGGACUUUGAUGUACCCCCAGAAGGGAAAAUGAACUGUUUCAUGGCACAGCUGGAGAGCUGGGGUCAGAAAGGCUCAGAGUGGGCAAAGAUACUGCUCCCAAGGACAGAGCCCUUGGGAUACGGCUUGAUACCAGGGCUGAGACCAUUUAAAGACUGCUGGACUAAAUAAGGACCUGAGCCCAGGAAGGACUACAGGAAGAGAAAGGCCAACUGAGGAGUACAGGGACAGGACCCUGUUGGACUGUUUACCCCAGAAGGAGUUUGAUUUGUAUUUCACAUAUGCACUGUGUGAGACUCGGCCAGAGGGCCGAGUCGCUGAAGACCCACCACAAGCUGAGAGAGUGCAGGCACACGCAUUUGGACAAGAGAGGUCAAUGAAGACUUCUUUAAAUUGAUGCAAAGGAACUGGAAUAAGGCUGGAGCCUUGGAGGUUACAAACUGGAUGUCCAGAGCUGAUUGACUUUGGAAGAGCCAAAUCAUCCAGAUGAAAGGACCAGAGACUCCAUUUUCCAGUCAAAGUGGAAGAAAUGCUGAGGCACAAGAUUCAGAGAGAGGCCUGGUCCUUAGUCUUCAAUGGGUUUUGAAGGAAAGCAAGGGGCAACAAAAUAACCCUCCCUGUUAAAGGCUGGAAAACAGACUUUGUUAUCACUAGUCAGAAAAGUAAUAGGAGACAGACAGUAUGACCAACAGUAAGGCUUCUGUGUAUAUCACAAUCUUGAUACACAAUACAGUAUUCUGUUAAAAUUCCAACUACACUCCUUUGCAGCUUUCAAGAUAUGUUGUCCUUACCCAUGGUUACAGUGAACAAGUCAUGAGACAGCUAGAGACUUUAAGCCCAUAUGUUAGAAGACUGGCCUUGAGUACAAGUACUUUGAGAGCUUGCAGCCAUGUGAUGAGAUCCUUCAAACCUGAUGGAUCAGUAAUGUCGGGCUGAGUUCUUCAAUAG
Long non-coding RNA from Mauremys mutica (yellowpond turtle), 1233 nucleotides. RefSeq lists it as uncharacterized. NCBI's taxonomy places the organism in Eukaryota, Metazoa, Chordata, Testudines, Geoemydidae. The transcript is spliced from 3 exons. The record is from RefSeq and is a predicted model, not a curated record.